AUGCGUAUGUUGAGAUGGAUGUGUGGCCACACAAGGAAGGAUCGAGUCCGGAAUGAUGAUAUACGAGAUAGAGUUGGGGUAGCACCAAUUGAGGAGAAGCUUGUCCAACAUCGUUUGAGAUGGUUUGGGCAUAUUCAGCGCAGGCCUCCAGAAGCUCCAGUGCAUAGCGGACGGCUAAAGCGUGCGGAGAAUGUCAAGAGAGGGCGGGGUCGACCGAUUUUGACAUGGGAGGAGUCCGUUAAGAGAGACCUGAAGGAUUGGAGUAUCGACAAAGAGCUAGCUAUGGACAGGGGUGCGUGGAAGCUUGCUAUCCAUGUGCCAGAGCCCUGA
This 330-nucleotide ribosomal RNA is filed under the name Triticum aestivum (bread wheat). RNAcentral's name for it is "partial small subunit ribosomal RNA". The record is from RNAcentral. Lineage: Eukaryota; Viridiplantae; Streptophyta; Magnoliopsida; Poales; Poaceae.